RNAcentral lists this long non-coding RNA (677 nucleotides) under Rattus norvegicus (Norway rat). RNAcentral's name for it is "long non-coding RNA NONRATT006074". The record is from RNAcentral. Lineage: Eukaryota; Metazoa; Chordata; Mammalia; Rodentia; Muridae.
AGACCAGCGGCCGCACAUUUUUACUGUACUCUAGAUUCCCCUUUAUUUCCUCUUCACCUAGGCUCCCGCCCCACCCAGCGCCAGACCACGCCCCUGCGCGUGACGUCAGUACGCCUCGUGCGUCGCGUCGCGGCGCUUGCUGGGGGCCCGGCUUUCGCCCGCUGCUGCCGCCGCCGCCGCCGGCCGCGGCUGCUCUCCCAAGAUGGCGGCUCCUCCGGGCGAGUACUUCAGCGUUGGGAGCCAGGUGUCGUGCCGGACGUGCCAGGAGCAGCGGCUGCAGGGCGAGGUGGUAGCCUUCGACUACCAGUCCAAAAUGCUGGCUCUAAGUAUCCUUCUCUGCGUGGACCCCGAGGCCGGGCCGGCGUGUAGGUGCGGUGGUGGGGGGGCGGGGGACGGCGGCGGCAGCUAGGGCCCUCUCCCGGCCUAGGGGCGACCGGCUACCGCGGUGCCCCGGGCGCAUGCGCACGGCUCUGAACUCCCCUCCCCCUCCCGCGGGCCUUUCGGUCCAUUUUGGGGACCCUUGUCUCCCACCCCUUGUGGGAGCUAGGCCCCGACUGAGGGUUGGUAGGUGGAGCAGGGCUUGACACGCGCCUGGCUUUUCGGGAGGGGACGAUGUGUUAAGGGGACUCCGUGAUUAAGGGAGGGGGAUAGUGGUAAGGAGAGGGCUGGAGAUUGGA